UAACAAUGAUUUCCCUAGUAACGGCGAGUGAAGAGGAAAGAGCUCAAAGUUGGAACCUGUUUGGCUUAGCUAAACCGGAUUGUAAACUGUAGAAACAUUUUCCAGAUACACUAGACAAAAAAGUCCUUUGGAACAGGGCAUCAUAGAGGGUGAGAAUCCCGUCUUUGGUCUAAGUAGUUGUCUAUUGUGAUAUGUUUUCAAAGAGUCAGGUUGUUUGGGAAUGCAGCCUAAAUUGGGUGGUAAAUCUCACCUAAAGCUAAAUAUUUGCGAGAGACCGAUAGCGAACAAGUACCGUGAGGGAAAGAUGAAAAGAACUUUGAAAAGAGAGUUAAACAGUAUGUGAAAUUGUUAAAAGGGAACCGUUUGGAGCCAGAUUGGCUUGAUUGUAAUCAACCUAGAAUUCGUUUUGGGUGCACUUGCAGUCUAUGCCUGCCAACGACAGUUUGAUUUGGAGGAAAAAAUUAAUAGGAAUGUGGCCUUUCGAGGUGUUAUAGCCUAUUAUCAUACUCUGGAUUGGACUGAGGAACGCAGUGAAUGCCUUUAGGCAAGAUUGCUGGGCGCUUUCGCUAAUAAAUGUUAGAAUUUCUGCUUCGGGUGGUGCUAAUGUUUAAAGGAGGAACUCGUUUAGUAUAUUUUUUAUUCGCUUAGGUUGUUGGCUUAAUGACUCUNAAUGA
This 674-nucleotide ribosomal RNA is filed under the name Mucor racemosus. RNAcentral describes it as "eukaryotic LSU rRNA". It matches the Rfam family "Eukaryotic large subunit ribosomal RNA", at positions 66 to 647 of the family's 3401-position model. Lineage: Eukaryota; Fungi; Mucoromycota; Mucoromycetes; Mucorales; Mucoraceae. The record is from RNAcentral.